UGGUGAUGAUGAUGAGGGCAAUAAUGAUGCAAAUAAGAAGAAUUGGGUGAACUAGAGAUUUGAUGUGGUUGAUCACUCAUAUAUUUCAUACAUUUAUACCAUCCAUUUCUAAAGUCUUUGUGAUGUUUUUGUGUUAAAAUUGUGGCAUUUUACCUUACCUUGUGUUAAUGUGCAGUUAAUUUUGUUUUAGGAUCAAUUUCAAGCAAAAUGGAGAAAAGAAAUAAAAAAAAACCUGAACAGAAAAUAAAUGGGACGGAAAGGAAGACACUGAGCAGAAAACAAAUGGAGUGGAGAGACUAAAGGACACGGACUGAGUAAAAAACAAAAGAAAAGAAUAAUAAGAGAGGAAGUGGGAUAGACACGGAAACAUAAAGAAAGGCCAGUGCGCAAAGAGAGUGGAGGACAGACUGAGUGCACAGAGCGGAGUGCAGGACAAGGGGACAGACACAGACAAAGAAGAGUGGAGAGACCGAAGAAAAGGGAGACUAAGGGCGCGAAUAAAAAAAAACUGACAGAGGAAUAAAAAAGGAAGAGAGAGUGGAACCAAACGGCAGAGAGCAAGAGGCACGGCAGAGAGCAAGGAAGGAAAGAAAAAGAAGCUUCACUCUAUUUUUCUUGGUUUUAUCUUCUCAAACCCAUGUUUUACUUGUGGUUUAAUUUGAGAAUUAUGUGUAACUAAAUUUUAAGUAGUUAGGGGCUGUUUUGAAGCCCCGAAUAUGAUUGCAAGUUUGUUAUGACAUUUCAUUGAAUUGCUUUUAUGAAUGGAUGAAAAUUGGUUUACUACUUAUGUCAGUGAUAAAUUCUUUAUAUGUUUUUUAUGGAUGCAUACUUAGUAAGCAUAUUUAGAAUUCAAAUGCUAUGAAUAUAUGUAUGCCUGCCCUUGAUGAAUGAGGACCUACAUAUGUUCUAGAGUAGUACUUGUUAAUUGCGAUUAACAUGUGAACCAAUUUCUAAGAUAAGUAAGACAAUGCCAGUACUUACCAUGCCUUGUGAUGACUCAAACUCUUUUCGUUCUUAAUGAUUUUUACUUGUUAAAUCUAUGAACAUGCCAUUCUAGAUUGCAUGCUAGGGACUACGUUAAGUUGAAAACGCCAUUCUCUUAACAUACUACGUAAGAAAAAGUAAUAGGUUGUGUUCUAACAUUGAGCCAACUUGAGCAUCUUCAUCCGGAAAUAAAAGGAAUUUGAAUGAAACAUAACAUGUUUGCAUGAUUAUUUGGUGGUGGAUAACAAUUCCCCUAACUCGUUUUUCUCAAACUUGUGAUCUACUCAAAAUCUGUUUCUGUACUGUUUUUGUACGAUUUAAUUUAAAUAGCAAAUCAACUCCAAAAAUCCCAAAAAUUUGUGAGACUGUCGUACUGUGUGUCUAGUAUUUGCAUAUAAAAUUUCAUAGACUUUAGACCAGUGUAAGUCAGUCUAAUAAUUAUUUUUUUGGUGGCUGGUCAGUAGGGACAGCAACCAAUUUUUGUGACAUUUUAAGUAGUUAGAUAAAACAAUCUUCUGCGGGAAAGACCCUUAUUUUCAUAUGCUACAAUUGACAAAUCCUAGUGUUAAUAAGGAAAAUUAAUAGGAUAUUUGUGUGCUACUUUGUGGUGUGCUUUUAAACCUACCAGUGGUGGAUAGUUAGGAUUGAAUGAACCAUGAAAUCAACUAUUAUAAAUGAAUAAGAAAAACCGAACGAAGGAGUCAUAUAUAUUUACCUUGAAUUUGAGAUAUUUGAUGAAUUGAUUGUGAGUAAGAAUUUUAUGUCAUUCAAAAUUAGUAGUUAUGAAAAUAUUCAUAAAGAAAAUAAUGAAUUCAAAUAAUGAUGCAAUUAUAAUUUGAAAAUAAGUUUUAUUGCAAAACUUAUAUUGGGACUUACAAUUAAUUUACUGACGAUUCAGUCAGCAAAUAAGAAAUUGACUGGUGAAAAGGAUAUUGGUGCACAAGGGCAUCCUUGACAUUUAAGAAUUUAAAUUGUUUACAAUUUGGUUUUCUUUGAAUACAAUGUGAACCUAAAGAGAUUUGAUUGAGAAAAGAUGUAUACGUUAACUUGGUGUCCCCUUCAUAUGAGUCCUCUUCAUAUAGACUUGGAUAAUUGAUUGCUUUACUAUUGAAGUAUGGGAUGGAUGAUGACUUGUUUUUACUGUUGAUGAAUAGUGAAUUUGUUGGAAUAAUUGUUUUUUUACUGUGGAAUGUGCAGAUGACUAAAUGAUUCCAUGUUUUGUCGGAAUUAUCGAUGCGAAUAUUGUCUGAAUACUUCACAUGGUGACUUGAAAAGAUGACUGAAUUUUCACAUGGCAAUUGUCAUAGUGUUCACAUGAUGAUUUGACAUGAUGACUGAAUUUUCACAUGGUAAUUUAUUAUGUUCACAUGGCCUUAUGCAAAAGGGUCUUGCGAAUCUUGGUAGUCGACCCACUUGGCUGACUGUGUUUUUUGACUUAUCGAAUUGGCUGAUUGCUGUGAGAAUGCAUUUGAAGAUUCGGAGUCUGAAGGUUCUUCUUUAGUGUGGAGCAUCGUUGUUUUUGCAAGUAAUUGUUGUGCUAAAUCUUGGAGUUUAGUGACUAUUCUUCUUUGAGCCUGACGAUUUGUGAGACUUGACUAUUCAUUUGAGGGAUGAGGAUGGACAUAUGUCUGAUAAUGAUUGAGCUGGAAUAGCUCGCAUUACUGGCUGUGCUGGGAUGACUGGAGGAGGAGUAAUGGGGAAUUCAGAGAGAACCAGACUGAUGACCCUCUAAUGGUUGAAUUUAUCCUACCACUUGACUGAUUUGACUCUGUUGACUUCACCGGUUUCAACUUCAUAUCACUUCAAGAUCCAUGAGACUUUGUAUUUGGCCAUUAAUAAUGAGGGGAGUGUAAUUCUGUAAUUAAACCUGCUUCUGUCAAAUUUUUGUUGAAAACUGGUUGAGAGAACCUGCAUAAGCUCAUAUGGCAGUAUAUUGGCUAUUGGCCCAUGAAUUAACCAUCAUUUUGGGAACCAUGUUGAAAAAUUUAACUUGAAACUUUUGUCAAAUUGAUGAAUCAUGAAUGAUUAAAAUCAUUUGUCUGAUGGAGAAAGAUGUUAGUCCAAGCAUUGAUGUAAUCAAAAUAAUUAUAAUGGUC
Molecule: long non-coding RNA, 3080 nt
Filed under: Malus domestica (apple)
Lineage: Eukaryota; Viridiplantae; Streptophyta; Magnoliopsida; Rosales; Rosaceae
Description: long non-coding RNA (MDOM_LNC010946)
Source: RNAcentral